AAUAAGUGCAGUUUUACACUAUUCAUGUUCAACGUUUGACCGUUUGUCUUAUUUGAUUUUUUUUAUGAUUAGUAUUUUUAUUGCUAUUAGAUGAUAAAACAUGAAUAGUACUUUAUGUGUGACUAAAUAUUUUUAAAUUUUUCACAAAUUUUUCAAAUAAGACGAACGGUCAAACGUUGGACACGGAUAUCCACGGCUGCACUUAUU
Molecule: microRNA precursor, 207 nt
Filed under: Oryza barthii
Lineage: Eukaryota; Viridiplantae; Streptophyta; Magnoliopsida; Poales; Poaceae
Description: MIR812 microRNA precursor family
Rfam family: MIR812 microRNA precursor family
Source: Rfam by way of RNAcentral